Cyprinus carpio carpio is the source of this 781-nucleotide long non-coding RNA. The record is from Ensembl. NCBI's taxonomy places the organism in Eukaryota, Metazoa, Chordata, Actinopteri, Cypriniformes, Cyprinidae.
CGCACGUAAAUCGGCGGGAAAUAGCGAGUGAGUUGUGUGUGGAAAGUCUGCUGUAUUUUAGAAAUACUCGUCAGGAAAAGCAACUGAGUGACUGCUGCCACUCAUGGACACGUUUGUGAGAGGAAAAUUGUCUGAAUGGCAGCUUGAAAAUCUUAUAGACACCUUUAAAGCUGCUAAAGAGGAGACAGCUUUGAAGGUCCUGCCAACUCUGCUUCCCCCAUCCAUCUAUAGGAGAGGAGGAAAGGUCUUCAGACCCACCACAGAGGAGGCCCAGAAGUCAUUUAUUGACAUGCAGCCUGUUGGGACCAACAUGGUUGAAUAUUUAAACCAUGAGAUGACUGGAGCAUUGCUGCACAUUCUAUGCCUCAGUGAUGAGACAAGGGGGACAUCACAGACCUUUGCCAUUAUUCCAGGCCACGCCAUUGAGACUGUGUCUUUGUUGGAGGCGGUUGAUCUUUGCUUUAAAGCUUUUUUUGUUUUUGAUGUUCAGUACACCAAGCAGUGUCUCCCCACCUGGGAGUUUCUCCAGCAUGCUGUAUAUCAAAUUGAAGGAAAAGAGUCCUCCUCUGUAAAGUUUUUGAGGACAACAGUGGUUUCAGGCCCACAUGAUAUGUAGAUGAUUUUAAAAUGUAUUUUGUUGCUGUUCUUAAAUCAACACAUCUUAAUAAAUUAAAUUGUAAUCGUAUGAGAGUUCAAAUUAGUUGUUUAAUGACUUUUAAAGCCUGAAUAUUUGGACAGAUUUACAUUUGUUAUAAAGUCUGUGGGGAAGGGUGAAUGUCAG